UACGGAGGGUGCUAGCGUUGUUCGGAAUCACUGGGCGUAAAGCGCGUGUAGGCGGCCUGCGAAGUCUGAUGUGAAAGCCCGGGGCUCACCCCCGGAAGUGCAUUGGAAACUGGCAGGCUUGAGUCCCGGAGAGGAGAGUGGAAUUCCUGGUGUAGCGGUGAAAUGCGUAGAUAUCAGGAGGAACACCGGUGGCGAAGGCGGCUCUCUGGACGGUGACUGACGCUGAGACGCGAAAGCGUGGGGAGCAAACAGG
RNAcentral lists this ribosomal RNA (253 nucleotides) under uncultured bacterium. Its description in RNAcentral is "partial 16S ribosomal RNA". It matches the Rfam family "Bacterial small subunit ribosomal RNA", at positions 524 to 776 of the family's 1533-position model. The record is from RNAcentral.